RNAcentral lists this transfer RNA (70 nucleotides) under Camelus bactrianus (Bactrian camel). It matches the Rfam family "tRNA". From Rfam's summary of the family: Transfer RNA (tRNA) molecules are approximately 80 nucleotides in length. Their secondary structure includes four short double-helical elements and three loops (D, anti-codon, and T loops). Lineage: Eukaryota; Metazoa; Chordata; Mammalia; Artiodactyla; Camelidae. The record is from Rfam by way of RNAcentral. RNAcentral also lists the same sequence under 2 other names.
GGUAAUAGCUCAGUGGCUGAGCAUAUGCUUAGCAUGCACAAAGUCCUGGGUUCAAUCCCUAGUACUUCCA